RNAcentral lists this ribosomal RNA (468 nucleotides) under uncultured bacterium. RNAcentral's name for it is "partial 16S ribosomal RNA". It matches the Rfam family "Bacterial small subunit ribosomal RNA", at positions 28 to 507 of the family's 1533-position model. The record is from RNAcentral.
GACGAACGCUGGCGGCGUGCUUAACACAUGCAAGUCGAACGGAAAGGCCCUGCUUUUGUGGGGUGCUCGAGUGGCGAACGGGUGAGUAACACGUGAGUAACCUGCCCUUGACUUUGGGAUAACUUCAGGAAACUGGGGCUAAUACCGGAUAGGAGCUCCUGCUGCAUGGUGGGGGUUGGAAAGUUUCGGCGGUUGGGGAUGGACUCGCGGCUUAUCAGCUUGUUGGUGGGGUAGUGGAUUGCCAAGGCAUUGACGGGUAGCCGGCCUGAGAGGGUGACCGGCGACAUAGGGACUAAGGUACGGCCCAGACUCCUACGGGAGGCAGCAGUGGGGAAUAUUGCACAAUGGGCGGAAGCCUGAUGCAGCAACGCCGCGUGCGGGAUGACGGCCUUCGGGUUGUAAACCGCUUUCGCCUGUGACGAAGCGUGAGUGACGGUAAUGGGUAAAGAAGCACCGGCUAACUACGUG